RNAcentral lists this ribosomal RNA (871 nucleotides) under Micrococcus sp. CNJ736 PL04. RNAcentral's name for it is "bacterial SSU rRNA". It matches the Rfam family "Bacterial small subunit ribosomal RNA", at positions 8 to 890 of the family's 1533-position model. Lineage: Bacteria; Bacillati; Actinomycetota; Actinomycetes; Micrococcales; Micrococcaceae. The record is from RNAcentral.
AGAGUUUGAUCCUGGCUCAGGAUGAACGCUGGCGGCGUGCUUAACACAUGCAAGUCGAACGAUGAAGCCCAGCUUGCUGGGUGGAUUAGUGGCGAACGGGUGAGUAACACGUGAGUAACCUGCCCUUAACUCUGGGAUAAGCCUGGGAAACUGGGUCUAAUACCGGAUAGGAGCGUCCACCGCAUGGUGGGUGUUGGAAAGAUUUAUCGGUUUUGGAUGGACUCGCGGCCUAUCAGCUUGUUGGUGAGGUAAUGGCUCACCAAGGCGACGACGGGUAGCCGGCCUGAGAGGGUGACCGGCCACACUGGGACUGAGACACGGCCCAGACUCCUACGGGAGGCAGCAGUGGGGAAUAUUGCACAAUGGGCGCAAGCCUGAUGCAGCGACGCCGCGUGAGGGAUGACGGCCUUCGGGUUGUAAACCUCUUUCAGUAGGGAAGAAGCGAAAGUGACGGUACCUGCAGAAGAAGCACCGGCUAACUACGUGCCAGCAGCCGCGGUAAUACGUAGGGUGCGAGCGUUAUCCGGAAUUAUUGGGCGUAAAGAGCUCGUAGGCGGUUUGUCGCGUCUGUCGUGAAAGUCCGGGGCUUAACCCCGGAUCUGCGGUGGGUACGGGCAGACUAGAGUGCAGUAGGGGAGACUGGAAUUCCUGGUGUAGCGGUGGAAUGCGCAGAUAUCAGGAGGAACACCGAUGGCGAAGGCAGGUCUCUGGGCUGUAACUGACGCUGAGGAGCGAAAGCAUGGGGAGCGAACAGGAUUAGAUACCCUGGUAGUCCAUGCCGUAAACGUUGGGCACUAGGUGUGGGGACCAUUCCACGGUUUCCGCGCCGCAGCUAACGCAUUAAGUGCCCCGCCUGGGGAGUACGGCCGCA